CUGAAUAUACCGGUUCUCGUUAGAUCACCGAAGUCAAGCAUCAUUGGGCGCGGUCAGUACUUGGGUGGGUGACCACCUGGGAACACCGCGUGCCGUU
Molecule: ribosomal RNA, 97 nt
Filed under: Caerostris darwini
Lineage: Eukaryota; Metazoa; Arthropoda; Arachnida; Araneae; Araneidae
Source: RNAcentral